CGGGAUGUAGCGCAGCUUGGUAGCGCACUUCGUUCGGGACGAAGGGGCCGCACGUUCAAAUCGUGUCAUCCCGA
Molecule: transfer RNA, 74 nt
Filed under: Gloeothece citriformis PCC 7424
Lineage: Bacteria; Bacillati; Cyanobacteriota; Cyanophyceae; Chroococcales; Aphanothecaceae
Description: tRNA-Pro (CGG) (tRNA-Pro-CGG-1-1)
Rfam family: tRNA
About the family: Transfer RNA (tRNA) molecules are approximately 80 nucleotides in length. Their secondary structure includes four short double-helical elements and three loops (D, anti-codon, and T loops). Further hydrogen bonds mediate the characteristic L-shaped molecular structure. tRNAs have two regions of fundamental functional importance: the anti-codon, which is responsible for specific mRNA codon recognition, and the 3' end, to which the tRNAs corresponding amino acid is attached (by aminoacyl-tRNA synthetases). tRNAs cope with the degeneracy of the genetic code in two manners: having more than one tRNA (with a specific anti-codon) for a particular amino acid; and 'wobble' base-pairing, i.e. permitting non-standard base-pairing at the 3rd anti-codon position.
Source: Rfam by way of RNAcentral